RNAcentral lists this transfer RNA (71 nucleotides) under Loxodonta africana (African savanna elephant). It matches the Rfam family "tRNA". From Rfam's summary of the family: Transfer RNA (tRNA) molecules are approximately 80 nucleotides in length. Their secondary structure includes four short double-helical elements and three loops (D, anti-codon, and T loops). Further hydrogen bonds mediate the characteristic L-shaped molecular structure. tRNAs have two regions of fundamental functional importance: the anti-codon, which is responsible for specific mRNA codon recognition, and the 3' end, to which the tRNAs corresponding amino acid is attached (by aminoacyl-tRNA synthetases). tRNAs cope with the degeneracy of the genetic code in two manners: having more than one tRNA (with a specific anti-codon) for a particular amino acid; and 'wobble' base-pairing, i.e. permitting non-standard base-pairing at the 3rd anti-codon position. The record is from Rfam by way of RNAcentral. Lineage: Eukaryota; Metazoa; Chordata; Mammalia; Proboscidea; Elephantidae.
GCCUUGGUUGCAUAAUGGUUAGUGCUCGGCUGCUAACCGAAAGGUUGGUGGUUUGAACCCACCCAGUGGUU